CUUCUACGUCGUCCGAGUAGGCCACAUGUUCACUAGCUAAAGCUUCUAACUGGUCUGUAGACUGCGAUGGGGUUCCAGAAAUUUCGACAACAGCAACUUGACCGUCAGAUGGAGAUUUUCCUGGUGAGGUACAGAACUGGAAAUUGCUGGAACAAAACAUUGUCUUUAGCUUUAGAUCAGAAUUGGUAAUUUCUGGAGAUCAGAGCUGGUAGUUGUCAGAUGGUAGAAUCGGUAAUUCCAAUAGAUUAGAACAGCUGAGGAGAUAUGGUGG
Octopus sinensis (East Asian common octopus) is the source of this 271-nucleotide long non-coding RNA. RefSeq lists it as uncharacterized. The transcript is spliced from 4 exons. NCBI's taxonomy places the organism in Eukaryota, Metazoa, Mollusca, Cephalopoda, Octopoda, Octopodidae. The record is from RefSeq and is a predicted model, not a curated record.